GACGGGGGGGGCAAGUGUUCUUCGGAAUGACUGGGCGUAAAGGGCACGUAGGCGGUGAAUCGGGUUGAAAGUGAAAGUCGCCAAAAAGUGGCGGAAUGCUCUCGAAACCAAUUCACUUGAGUGAGACAGAGGAGAGUGGAAUUUCGUGUGUAGGGGUGAAAUCGUAAAUAUACGAAGGAACGCCAAAAGCGAAGGCAGCUCUCUGGGUCCCUACCGACGGCUGGGGUGCGAAAGCAUGGG
This 240-nucleotide ribosomal RNA is filed under the name uncultured bacterium. RNAcentral describes it as "partial 16S ribosomal RNA". It matches the Rfam family "Bacterial small subunit ribosomal RNA", at positions 524 to 765 of the family's 1533-position model. The record is from RNAcentral.